This 1991-nucleotide ribosomal RNA is filed under the name Escherichia coli O26. RNAcentral describes it as "bacterial LSU rRNA". Lineage: Bacteria; Pseudomonadati; Pseudomonadota; Gammaproteobacteria; Enterobacterales; Enterobacteriaceae. The record is from RNAcentral.
CUGCGAAUACCGGAGAAUGUUAUCACGGGAGACACACGGCGGGUGCUAACGUCCGUCGUGAAGAGGGAAACAACCCAGACCGCCAGCUAAGGUCCCAAAGUCAUGGUUAAGUGGGAAACGAUGUGGGAAGGCCCAGACAGCCAGGAUGUUGGCUUAGAAGCAGCCAUCAUUUAAAGAAAGCGUAAUAGCUCACUGGUCGAGUCGGCCUGCGCGGAAGAUGUAACGGGGCUAAACCAUGCACCGAAGCUGCGGCAGCGACGCUKAUGCGUUGUUGGGUAGGGGAGCGUUCUGUAAGCCUGYGAAGGUGUGCUGUGAGGCAUGCUGGAGGUAUCAGAAGUGCGAAUGCUGACAUAAGUAACGAUAAAGCGGGUGAAAAGCCCGCUCGCCGGAAGACCAAGGGUUCCUGUCCAACGUUAAUCGGGGCAGGGUGAGUCGACCCCUAAGGCGAGGCCGAAAGGCGUAGUCGAUGGGAAACAGGUUAAUAUUCCUGUACUUGGUGUUACUGCGAAGGGGGGACGGAGAAGGCUAUGUUGGCCGGGCGACGGUUGUCCCGGUUUAAGCGUGUAGGCUGGUUUUCCAGGCAAAUCCGGAAAAUYAAGGCUGAGGCGUGAUGACGAGGCACURCGGUGCUGAAGCAACAAAUGCCCUGCUUCCAGGAAAAGCCUCUAAGCAUCAGGUAACAUCAAAUCGUACCCCAAACCGACACAGGUGGUCAGGUAGAGAAUACCAAGGCGCUUGAGAGAACUCGGGUGAAGGAACUAGGCAAAAUGGUGCCGUAACUUCGGGAGAAGGCACGCUGAUAUGUAGGUGAAGUCCCUCGCGGAUGGAGCUGAAAUCAGUCGAAGAUACCAGCUGGCUGCAACUGUUUAUUAAAAACACAGCACUGUGCAAACACGAAAGUGGACGUAUACGGUGUGACGCCUGCCCGGUGCCGGAAGGUUAAUUGAUGGGGUYAGCGCAAGCGAAGCUCUUGAUCGAAGCCCCGGUAAACGGCGGCCGUAACUAUAACGGUCCUAAGGUAGCGAAAUUCCUUGUCGGGUAAGUUCCGACCUGCACGAAUGGCGUAAUGAUGGCCAGGCUGUCUCCACCCGAGACUCAGUGAAAUUGAACUCGCUGUGAAGAUGCAGUGUACCCGCGGCAAGACGGAAAGACCCCGUGAACCUUUACUAUAGCUUGACACUGAACAUUGAGCCUUGAUGUGUAGGAUAGGUGGGAGGCUUUGAAGUGUGGACGCCAGUCUGCAUGGAGCCGACCUUGAAAUACCACCCUUUAAUGUUUGAUGUUCUAACGUUGACCCGUAAUCCGGGUUGCGGACAGUGUCUGGUGGGUAGUUUGACUGGGGCGGUCUCCUCCUAAAGAGUAACGGAGGAGCACGAAGGUUGGCUAAUCCUGGUCGGACAUCAGGAGGUUAGUGCAAUGGCAUAAGCCAGCUUGACUGCGAGCGUGACGGCGCGAGCAGGUGCGAAAGCAGGUCAUAGUGAUCCGGUGGUUCUGAAUGGAAGGGCCAUCGCUCAACGGAUAAAAGGUACUCCGGGGAUAACAGGCUGAUACCGCCCAAGAGUUCAUAUCGACGGCGGUGUUUGGCACCUCGAUGUCGGCUCAUCACAUCCUGGGGCUGAAGUAGGUCCCAAGGGUAUGGCUGUUCGCCAUUUAAAGUGGUACGCGAGCUGGGUUUAGAACGUCGUGAGACAGUUCGGUCCCUAUCUGCCGUGGGCGCUGGAGAACUGAGGGGGGCUGCUCCUAGUACGAGAGGACCGGAGUGGACGCAUCACUGGUGUUCGGGUUGUCAUGCCAAUGGCACUGCCCGGUAGCUAAAUGCGGAAGAGAUAAGUGCUGAAAGCAUCUAAGCACGAAACUUGCCCCGAGAUGAGUUCUCCCUGACUCCUUGAGAGUCCUGAAGGAACGUUGAAGACGACGACGUUGAUAGGCCGGGUGUGUAAGCGCAGCGAUGCGUUGAGCUAACCGGUACUAAUGAACCGUGAGGCUUAACC